CCUACGGGGUGCAGCAGUGAGGAAUAUUGGUCAAUGGGCGGAAGCCUGAACCAGCCAAGUCGCGUGAGGGAUUAAGGCCCUGCGGGUCGUAAACCUCUUUUGCCGGGGAGCAGAGGUCCGGACGUGUCCGGGCCGGGAGAGUACCCGGAGAAAAAGCAUCGGCUAACUCCGUGCCAGCAGCCGCGGUAAUACGGAGGAUGCGAGCGUUAUCCGGAUUUAUUGGGUUUAAAGGGUGCGUAGGCGGGCGUUUAAGCCGGCGGGCAAAUGUCGGGGCUCAACCCCGGCCUGCCGUCGGAACUGGGUGCCUUGAGUGGGCGAGAAGUAUGCGGAAUGCGUGGGGGAGCGGUGAAAUGCAUAGAUAUCACGCAUAACCCCGAUGGCGAAGGCAGAAUACCGGCGCCCUACUGACGCUGAGGCACGAAAGUGCGGGGAUCGAACAGGAUUAGAUACCCUGGUAGUC
RNAcentral lists this ribosomal RNA (460 nucleotides) under uncultured bacterium. RNAcentral describes it as "partial 16S ribosomal RNA". It matches the Rfam family "Bacterial small subunit ribosomal RNA", at positions 338 to 795 of the family's 1533-position model. The record is from RNAcentral.